CCUACGGGUGGCAGCAGUGAGGAAUAUUGGUCAAUGGCCGAGAGGCUGAACCAGCCAAGUCGCGUGAGGGAAGAAGGCCCUACGGGUUGUAAACCUCUUUUGUCGGGGAACAAAGGCAGUCACGUGUGCCUCAUUGAGUGUACCCGAAGAAAAAGCAUCGGCUAACUCCGUGCCAGCAGCCGCGGUAAUACGGAGGAUGCGAGCGUUAUCCGGAUUUAUUGGGUUUAAAGGGUGCGCAGGCGGAUGUGAAAGUCAGCGGUCAAAUUGCGGGGCUCAACCCCGUACUGCCGUUGAAACUGGAGGCCUUGAGUGCGCGAGAAGUAUGCGGAAUGCGUGGUGUAGCGGUGAAAUGCAUAGAUAUCACGCAGAACUCCGAUUGCGAAGGCAGCAUACCGGCGCGAAACUGACGCUGAUGCACGAAAGCGUGGGUAUCGAACAGGAUUAGAUACCCGAGUAGUC
Molecule: ribosomal RNA, 459 nt
Filed under: uncultured bacterium
Lineage: Bacteria
Description: partial 16S ribosomal RNA
Rfam family: Bacterial small subunit ribosomal RNA
Source: RNAcentral